RNAcentral lists this small RNA (29 nucleotides) under Bombyx mori (domestic silkworm). RNAcentral's name for it is "ovarian small RNA-34407". Lineage: Eukaryota; Metazoa; Arthropoda; Insecta; Lepidoptera; Bombycidae. The record is from RNAcentral.
UGGAAAUUGAUGCUCAGAGAAGAUCGUAC